UGAGGGAAAGGCGAAAAGAACCCCGGCGAGGGGAGUGAAAAAGAACCUGAAACCGUGUACGUACAAGCAGUGGGAGCCCCACCACCAAAGCAUUCUCUGGUGUUGAAGGCCCUGCAAAGCAGCAUCGCGGUGGCGGAGCGUCGUUUGCGACGCCCAACACACAAAACAAGCGGUGAGUGCUUUGGGGUGGGGUGACUGCGUACCUUUUGUAUAAUGGGUCAGCGACUUAUAUUCUGUAGCAAGGUUAACCGUAUAGGGGAGCCGAAGGGAAACCGAGUCUUAACUGGGCGUUAAGUUGCAGGGUAUAGACCCGAAACCCGGUGAUCUAGCCAUGGGCAGGUUGAAGGUUGGGUAACACUAACUGGAGGACCGAACCGACUAAUGUUGAAAAAUUAGCGGAUGACUUGUGGCUGGGGGUGAAAGGCCAAUCAAACCGGGAGAUAGCUGGUUCUCCCCGAAAGCUAUUUAGGUAGCGCCUCGUGAACUCAUCUUCGGGGGUAGAGCACUGUUUCGGCUAGGGGGCCAUCCCGACUUACCAACCCGAUGCAAACUGCGAAUACCGAAGAAUGUUAUCACGGGAGACACACGGCGGGUGCUAACGUCCGUCGUGAAGAGGGAAACAACCCAGACCGCCAGCUAAGGUCCCAAAGUCAUGGUUAAGUGGGAAACGAUGUGGGAAGGCCCAGACAGCCAGGAUGUUGGCUUAGAAGCAGCCAUCAUUUAAAGAAAGCGUAAUAGCUCACUGGUCGAGUCGGCCUGCGCGGAAGAUGUAACGGGGCUAAACCAUGCACCGAAGCUGCGGCAGCGA
This 808-nucleotide ribosomal RNA is filed under the name Salmonella enterica subsp. enterica. RNAcentral describes it as "bacterial LSU rRNA". It matches the Rfam family "Bacterial large subunit ribosomal RNA", at positions 504 to 1211 of the family's 2925-position model. Lineage: Bacteria; Pseudomonadati; Pseudomonadota; Gammaproteobacteria; Enterobacterales; Enterobacteriaceae. The record is from RNAcentral.